CUUCGGAACUAGAGACCGGCGCACGGGUGCGUAACGCGUAUGCAAUCUACCUUUCACAGAGGGAUAGCCCAGAGAAAUUUGGAUUAAUACCUCAUAGUAUAAUGAGUUGGCAUCAACACAUUAUUAAAGUCACAACGGUGAAAGAUGAGCAUGCGUCCCAUUAGCUAGAUGGUAAGGUAACGGCUUACCAUGGCAACGAUGGGUAGGGGUCCUGAGAGGGAGAUCCCCCACACUGGUACUGAGACACGGACCAGACUCCUACGGGAGGCAGCAGUGAGGAAUAUUGGACAAUGGGCGCAAGCCUGAUCCAGCCAUGCCGCGUGCAGGAUGACGGUCCUAUGGAUUGUAAACUGCUUUUGUACAGGAAGAAACACUGGUUCGUGAACCAGCUUGACGGUACUGUAAGAAUAAGGAUCGGCUAACUCCGUGCCAGCAGCCGCGGUAAUACGGAGGAUCCAAGCGUUAUCCGGAAUCAUUGGGUUUAAAGGGUCCGUAGGCGGCUUAGUAAGUCAGUGGUGAAAGCCCAUCGCUCAACGGUGGAACGGCCAUUGAUACUGCUAAACUUGAAUUAUUAGGAAGUAACUAGAAUAUGUAGUGUAGCGGUGAAAUGCUUAGAGAUUACAUGGAAUACCAAUUGCGAAGGCAGGUUACUACUAAUGGAUUGACGCUGAUGGACGAAAGCGUGGGUAGCGAACAGGAUUAGAUACCCUGGUAGUCCACGCCGUAAACGAUGGAUACUAGCUGUUGGAAGCGAUUUCAGUGGCUAAGCGAAAGUGAUAAGUAUCCCACCUGGGGAGUACGUUCGCAAGAAUGAAACUCAAAGGAAUU
Molecule: ribosomal RNA, 828 nt
Filed under: uncultured bacterium
Lineage: Bacteria
Description: bacterial SSU rRNA
Rfam family: Bacterial small subunit ribosomal RNA
Source: RNAcentral